This 76-nucleotide transfer RNA is filed under the name Temperatibacter marinus. RNAcentral's name for it is "tRNA-Lys". It matches the Rfam family "tRNA". From Rfam's summary of the family: Transfer RNA (tRNA) molecules are approximately 80 nucleotides in length. Their secondary structure includes four short double-helical elements and three loops (D, anti-codon, and T loops). Lineage: Bacteria; Pseudomonadati; Pseudomonadota; Alphaproteobacteria; Kordiimonadales; Temperatibacteraceae. The record is from RNAcentral.
GGGCCCAUAGCUCAGCUGGUAGAGCAACUGACUUUUAAUCAGUAGGCCACAGGUUCGAACCCUGUUGGGCUCACCA